UACGGGGGGUGCAAGCGUUGCUCGGAAUCACUGGGCGUAAAGCGUCCGCAGGUGGAGAGGAAAGUCGGUCGUGAAAGCCCGAGGCUCAACCUCGGAACUGCGAUCGAAACUUCCUCCCUCGAGUUCGGGAGAGGGGAGCGGAAUUCCUGGUGUAGAGGUGAAAUUCGUAGAUAUCAGGAGGAACACCGGUGGCGAAAGCGGCUCCCUGGCCCGAAACUGACACUCAUGGACGAAAGCGUGGGUAGCAAACAGG
This 253-nucleotide ribosomal RNA is filed under the name uncultured bacterium. RNAcentral describes it as "partial 16S ribosomal RNA". It matches the Rfam family "Bacterial small subunit ribosomal RNA", at positions 524 to 776 of the family's 1533-position model. The record is from RNAcentral.